Molecule: ribosomal RNA, 253 nt
Filed under: uncultured bacterium
Lineage: Bacteria
Description: partial 16S ribosomal RNA
Rfam family: Bacterial small subunit ribosomal RNA
Source: RNAcentral
UACGGAGGGUGCAAACGUUGCUCGGAAUCAUUGGGCGGAAAGCGCACGUAGGCGGCGAAGCAAGUUGGGUGUGAAAGCCCUGGGCUCAACCCAGGAAGUGCAUUCAAAACUGCUUCGCUUGAAUCUCGGAGGGGGUCAGAGAAUUCCCGGUGUAGAGGUGAAAUUCGUAGAUAUCGGGAGGAAUACCAGUGGCGAAGGCGCUGACCUGGACGAAGAUUGACGCUGAGGUGCGAAAGCGCGGGGAGCAAACAGG